Molecule: ribosomal RNA, 828 nt
Filed under: uncultured bacterium
Lineage: Bacteria
Description: bacterial SSU rRNA
Rfam family: Bacterial small subunit ribosomal RNA
Source: RNAcentral
AGAGUUUGAUCCUGGCUCAGGAUGAACGCUAGCGGCAGGCUUAAUACAUGCAAGUCGAACGGUAACAGGUCCAGCAAUGGAUGCUGACGAGUGGCGAACGGGUGCGUAACACGUGUGCAACUUACCUUUAACAGGAGGAUAGCUCCGAGAAAUUGGAAUUAAUACUCCGUAACAUUAUGAAACGGCAUCGUUUUAUAAUUAAAGCUCCGGUGGUUAAAGAUAGGCACGCGAAACAUUAGCUAGUUGGCGAGGUAACGGCUCACCAAGGCCACGAUGUUUAGGGGUUCUGAGAGGAUUAACCCCCACACUGGUACUGAGACACGGACCAGACUCCUACGGGAGGCAGCAGUAAGGAAUAUUGGUCAAUGGACGCAAGUCUGAACCAGCCAUGCCGCGUGAAGGAUGACAGCCCUAUGGGUUGUAAACUUCUUUUAUACAGGAAAAAACCUUUCGACGUGUCGGGAGCUGAUGGUACUGUAAGAAUAAGGAUCGGCUAACUCCGUGCCAGCAGCCGCGGUAAUACGGAGGAUCCAAGCGUUAUCCGGAUUUAUUGGGUUUAAAGGGUGCGUAGGCGGAUUGGUAAGUCAGUGGUGAAAUCCUACAGCUUAACUGUAGAACUGCCAUUGAUACUAUUAGUCUUGAGUACAAUUGAAGUGGGCGGAAUGUGUCAUGUAGCGGUGAAAUGCAUAGAGAUGACACAGAACACCGAUAGCGAAGGCAGCUCACUAAACUGUAACUGACGCUGAGGCACGAAAGCGUGUGGAUCAAACAGGAUUAGAUACCCUGGUAGUCCACGCCGUAAACGAUGAUUACUCGAUGUGUGCGAUA